AGUGUACGCUGGCGGUAGGCCUAACACAUGCAAGUCGAACGGCAGCACAGUAAGAGCUUGCUCUUACGGGUGGCGAGUGGCGGACGGGUGAGGAAUACAUCGGAAUCUACUUUUUCGUGGGGGAUAACGUAGGGAAACUUACGCUAAUACCGCAUACGACCUACGGGUGAAAGCAGGGGAUCUUCGGACCUUGCGCGAUUGAAUGAGCCGAUGUCGGAUUAGCUAGUUGGCGGGGUAAAGGCCCACCAAGGCGACGAUCCGUAGCUGGUCUGAGAGGAUGAUCGGCCACACUGGAACUGAGACACGGUCCAGACUCCUACGGGAGGCAGCAGUGGGGAAUAUUGGACAAUGGGCGCAAGCCUGAUCCAGCCAUACCGCGUGGGUGAAGAAGGCCUUCGGGUUGUAAAGCCCUUUUGUUGGGAAAGAAAAGCAGCAGGUUAAUACCCCGCUGUUCUGACGGUACCCAAAGAAUAAGCACCGGCUAACUUCGUG
Molecule: ribosomal RNA, 492 nt
Filed under: uncultured bacterium
Lineage: Bacteria
Description: partial 16S ribosomal RNA
Rfam family: Bacterial small subunit ribosomal RNA
Source: RNAcentral